CUGCAUUCGAUUGUUUGUCACAUUACCCAGCUGUCUCGAGCUGUCUGCAGAACGUAUAAAUCGCUGCUCUGUCGGGAUUUCCCAAACACUGAUACAAUUUCUGUUUAAGAACAGAUUCUGAGAUGAUAAAUUGGACACGACACAGAGAAAGAAAUACGUUCCAGAAUUAAAACAAAAUCGACUGAUAUAUUGGUGGGGAGUGUGAUUCUCCGCUAAUCUCGAAAAGACUUGAGAACCCCUUAGGUCUACUUAGACAGUCACGUUUAUGUCACGGCGGACACGUAUAUUAAAUGGUAUUACGACUUUCAAAGAUAUCGGAGUAUUGAUCAUACUGACGGCGCCAGUGACAGGAGUCAACAGUUUCAAAUGAAAGUUUGGGACGCGUAGGAAACGUGGGAGUGUCGUUUUUAUUGGAAGAUUGGACAAGGUGCUUCAAAAUGGGAAAUGUAAACUUGCACAGCCUAAAAGCCGGUGACGUUCUGACAAUCCAUGGUAUGGCGGGGCAUAAUACAUUGCCACACUGGGGAGUUUACAUCGGCAAUGGAGAUAUAGUACAUUUCACUCGGCGGGAAAUCAGAAGGGACGCCCUCAAACAGCUCUGCAAGUCAAAAUCAAUCAAUGUUAAAGUACACAACUGUCAUGACGACCAUUAUCAACCGAAAGACAGCAACGAUGUUAUCAUAAGCGCGGAAGAUCAAGUAGGGACAGAGUGUACGCAGAAUCGGUGGAUGAGUUGCAAAGAGUUUGCGUGUUGGUGUCGAUACGGUGAUGUUAUUCCAAACAAAAUGGAGCUGCAGACUGAAGACCGGGUACUGUGCUUUGAAAUAAACGACGAAGGCACCGACACACGCCUACUGCACGACUCUGCCAACUGAAUUUAUCUGCUCAUCUCCAGAUUUGUUCCCGCCAGAUUUUUUUUAAAAACUUUCAGAUUCUCUCAACUGUUUUUGCACAAGUUACAGAUUGAUUUAGUAUAAGUAUCUUGAAAGUGCUGUGAUGGAAACCAUGGUAUUGUAAAAAAAACA
Saccoglossus kowalevskii is the source of this 1025-nucleotide long non-coding RNA. The record is from RefSeq and is a predicted model, not a curated record. Lineage: Eukaryota; Metazoa; Hemichordata; Enteropneusta; Harrimaniidae.